RNAcentral lists this ribosomal RNA (253 nucleotides) under uncultured bacterium. RNAcentral describes it as "partial 16S ribosomal RNA". It matches the Rfam family "Bacterial small subunit ribosomal RNA", at positions 524 to 776 of the family's 1533-position model. The record is from RNAcentral.
GACGUAGGAGGCGAGCGUUGUCCGGAGUGACUGGGCGUAAAGCGCGCGCAGGCGGCCGGCGCGGCCCGCGGUGAAAUCCCCCGGCUCAACCGGGGUAGGUCCGCGGGGACCGGUCGGCUGGAGGGCGGUAGAGGCCGGUGGAAUUCCCGGUGUAGUGGUGAAAUGCGUAGAGCCCGGGAGGAACACCAGUGGCGCAGGCGGCCGGCUGGGCCGUCCCUGACGCUGAGGCGCGAAGGCCGGGGGAGCGAACGGG